This 420-nucleotide ribosomal RNA is filed under the name bacterium. RNAcentral's name for it is "partial 16S ribosomal RNA". It matches the Rfam family "Bacterial small subunit ribosomal RNA", at positions 355 to 776 of the family's 1533-position model. The record is from RNAcentral.
UGGGGGAUAUUGCACAAUGGGCGAAAGCCUGAUGCAGCGACGCCGCGUGGGGGAUGAAGGCUUUCGGGUUGUAAACCUCUUUCGCUAUCGAACAAGGCCCGCUUAGGGUGGGUUGAGGGUAGGUGGAGAAGAAGCGCCGGCUAACUACGUGCCAGCAGCCGCGGUAAUACGUAGGGCGCGAGCGUUGUCUGGAAUUAUUGGGCGUAAAGGGCUUGUAGGCGGCUUGUUGCGCCUGCUGUGAAAACGCGGGGCUUAACUUCGCGCGUGCAGUGGGUACGGGCAGGCUUGAGUGUGGUAGGGGUGACUGGAAUUCCAGGUGUAGCGGUGGAAUGCGCAGAUAUCUGGAGGAACAACGAUGGCGAAGGCAGGUCACUGGGCCAUUACUGACGCUGAGGAGCGAAAGCAUGGGUAGCGAACAGG